AACCUGAACUUCAACUCCCACAACUAAACACGAAAAAAAAUGAGUUGAGAAUUUGACCGUCAAUAAAACUCCUAAACUAGUCAAACUCCCGAGACAAUCUAUACGAGAUUGAUGGAUCCAGGACUUUUUGUAAUCCUCAUCUCUAUCUAGACUCAGCGCGGUGGCGUGGAAAGACGGAGCUGCGGCCACUGAGAGUGCAUGACCGCCGCGGCACUGCGACCUUUCAAAUCGCUUGAGGUGUGUAGGUUUGUCUGCAACUAGGUAGCUGGGCUUGGUUCAUGGUUGUGGCUCUCGAGCCACUCUACUACAGUGACUUCGGGAGACGUAGGCGGCGGCGGCUUCCGACGUCCUAACGGAGUUGGGGAGCGAGGCGCGACUGCCGCUCCAGUUGUGGUAACGUUCAUUAAUUAUAAAACCCUUUGAAGCAAUCUUAAACCAGACACAUAAGCAACAUAUCGGUGAACAGGUCAUGACCCCUAAGUUAUCAACCGAAAUAGAAGUCAACGGAACAUGGUCGAAGACAGUAGAAGAAUUAGAAUGUCUUCGGAACCUUUCCAGCCGGAAACGGGUUGAGUGUCUAACAAGGAUGUCAACAGUUACCGCCUCAAGACCGUAAUAUGAAGCACAACACCCGAUUUCCUGAGGAACGAACGUCUGGUGAUCAACGAGACGACCGUCUCAUGCGUCCACGUGAAGAACCUCAAGAGAGACGACGAAAUAUACCUUCCUUUCAAUUAUAUACCUUUUUCUAACCUCCUGAGCGACGAUACGACGAUCGUAUGAUAGACAAUAGUUUACCAACCCGAUGUUCUUGUUUAAGUGGUGAUAUAUCGAAACCUUCACUUGGUGACCUCUUCCGAUGUCUUUGAUGGCCCUACUUCCUUUACCAAGACGGUUAAUCACGACCUUAAAAUAGUCGAAACUCCUCUCAUAACCGAGCCGCUCAGAGAGAGUUCUUAGAUGAGUUUUCCGCUGAAGUACGCUAUUGACAACGAAGACGAUGUACAAAAGAAAAAGGUAAACGUUACACCCUAUGUUAAGAUCCAAGUUGUAGACUGUCGUAUCAAUUUUACGUUGAUGGUUCGACCCGUAUAAACUCAUGACAAAACAAGCCUUACCACGAAUAUAAGAUACAACUAUUACAACGACUCCUUUCGAACGUAGACCAGAAAAGAAGAGGUUCCGUGAAUCACCAAAGUUGUCCAACGUAGUAAUAAAACCUCUAUAAUAUGUUUUACCUAAAGAGGGAAGGACCAAACGACGAAACAAGACACUAAAACCCUAAACCAUAAAACCUUCGUUGGAGGAACCUGGCUAGGUUUUUUUCCGGUAACCUCCGUGUACUUGGCAGUUUACCUAGUGAAGUGUUAGUCAACGCCUAAAGUCUUGAAGGUUACAUCUUACUCCUAAAAAAA
RNAcentral lists this ribosomal RNA (1415 nucleotides) under Triticum aestivum (bread wheat). RNAcentral's name for it is "partial small subunit ribosomal RNA". The record is from RNAcentral. Lineage: Eukaryota; Viridiplantae; Streptophyta; Magnoliopsida; Poales; Poaceae.